AUUGAACGCUGGCGGCGUGCUUAACACAUGCAAGUCGAUCGGUAACAGGUGUAGCAAUACAUGCUGACGAGAGGCGGACGGGUGAGGAAUAUUUGGGAAUCUGCCCAUCAGCGGGGGACAACCCGGGGAAACUCGGGCUAAUACCGCAUACGCUCUACGGAGGAAAGCCGGGGACCGCAAGGCCUGGCACUGAUGGAUGAGCCCAAAUCGGAUUAGCUAGUUGGCGGGGUAACGGCCCACCAAGGCGACGAUCCGUAGCUGGUCUGAGAGGACGAUCAGCCACACCGGAACUGAGACACGGUCCGGACUCCUACGGGAGGCUGCAGUGGGGAAUAUUGGACAAUGGGGGAAACCCUGAUCCAGCGACGCCGCGUGGGUGAAGAAGGCCUGCGGGUUGUAAAGCCCUUUCGGUAGGGAAGAAAUCUCUUGUUCUAAUAAAACAAGGGUUUGACUUAACCUACAUAAGAAGCACCGGCUAACUCUGUGCCAGCAGCCGCGGUAAUACAGAGGGUGCGAGCGCUAAUCGGAAUUACUGGGCGUAAAGCGCACGUAGUCGGCUUGCCAAGUCGGGUGUGAAAUCCCCGGGCUCAACCUGGGAACUGCAUCCGAAACUGG
This 615-nucleotide ribosomal RNA is filed under the name uncultured bacterium. Its description in RNAcentral is "bacterial SSU rRNA". It matches the Rfam family "Bacterial small subunit ribosomal RNA", at positions 28 to 636 of the family's 1533-position model. The record is from RNAcentral.